This 652-nucleotide ribosomal RNA is filed under the name uncultured bacterium. RNAcentral's name for it is "bacterial SSU rRNA". It matches the Rfam family "Bacterial small subunit ribosomal RNA", at positions 11 to 652 of the family's 1533-position model. The record is from RNAcentral.
GUUUGAUCAUGGCUCAGGAUGAACGCUAACUACAGGCUUAACACAUGCAAGUCGAGGGGCAGCAUUUCAGUUUGCUUGCAAACUGGAGAUGGCGACCGGCGCACGGGUGAGUAACACGUAUCCAACCUGCCGAUAACUCGGGGAUAGCCUUUCGAAAGAAAGAUUAAUACCCGAUGGUAUAAUUAGACCGCAUGGUCUUGUUAUUAAAGAAUUUCGGUUAUCGAUGGGGAUGCGUUCCAUUAGGCAGUUGGUGAGGUAACGGCUCACCAAACCUUCGAUGGAUAGGGGUUCUGAGAGGAAGGUCCCCCACAUUGGAACUGAGACACGGUCCAAACUCCUACGGGAGGCAGCAGUGAGGAAUAUUGGUCAAUGGACGGGAGUCUGAACCAGCCAAGUAGCGUGAAGGAUGACUGCCCUAUGGGUUGUAAACUUCUUUUAUAUGGGAAUAAAGUUUUCCACGUGUGGAAUUUUGUAUGUACCAUAUGAAUAAGGAUCGGCUAACUCCGUGCCAGCAGCCGCGGUAAUACGGAGGAUCCGAGCGUUAUCCGGAUUUAUUGGGUUUAAAGGGAGCGUAGGUGGACAGUUAAGUCAGUUGUGAAAGUUUGCGGCUCAACCGUAAAAUUGCAGUUGAUACUGGCUGUCUGAGUACAGU